UUGCACGCUGGCGGCAUGCUUUACCCAUGCCAGUCGCACGGCAGCGCGGGCUUCGGCCUGGCGGCGAGUGGCGAACGGGUGAGUAAUGCAUCGGAACGUGCCCAGUAGUGGGGGAUAGCCCGGCGAAAGCCGGAUUAAUACCGCAUACGACCUGAGGGUGAAAGCGGGGGACCGAAAGGCCUCGCGCUAUUGGAGCGGCCGAUGUCGGAUUAGCUAGUUGGUGGGGUAAAGGCUUACCAAGGCGACGAUCCGUAGCUGGUCUGAGAGGACGACCAGCCACACUGGGACUGAGACACGGCCCAGACUCCUACGGGAGGCAGCAGUGGGGAAUUUUGGACAAUGGGGGCAACCCUGAUCCAGCCAUGCCGCGUGCGGGAAGAAGGCCUUCGGGUUGUAAACCGCUUUUGUUCGGGAAGAAAUCCUCUGGGCUAAUACCCCGGGGGGAUGACGGUACCGGAAGAAUAAGCACCGGCUAACUACGUG
RNAcentral lists this ribosomal RNA (483 nucleotides) under uncultured bacterium. RNAcentral describes it as "partial 16S ribosomal RNA". It matches the Rfam family "Bacterial small subunit ribosomal RNA", at positions 29 to 507 of the family's 1533-position model. The record is from RNAcentral.